GGCUUUGUAGUGAAUUUCAUAUUGAGUUGCAAGCUCAAAGAUAUGCGUUAAGUGCGCAUCAGAGCCU
Molecule: transfer RNA, 67 nt
Filed under: Tyrannus savana (Fork-tailed flycatcher)
Lineage: Eukaryota; Metazoa; Chordata; Aves; Passeriformes; Tyrannidae
Description: tRNA-Cys
Source: RNAcentral